Molecule: unclassified non-coding RNA, 403 nt
Filed under: soil metagenome
Description: partial contains 5.8S ribosomal RNA, internal transcribed spacer 2, and large subunit ribosomal RNA
Rfam family: 5.8S ribosomal RNA (bases 1-121)
Source: RNAcentral
GAUGAAGAACGCAGCGAAAUGCGAUAAGUAAUGUGAAUUGCAGAAUUCAGUGAAUCAUCGAAUCUUUGAACGCACCUUGCGCCCUUUGGCCAUUCCGAAGGGCAUGCCUGUUUGAGUAUCAUGAACACCUCAACUCUCAUGGCUUGCCGUGAUGAGCUUGGACUUUGGGGGUCUUGCUGGCCUGUGGUUGGCUCCUCUCAAAUGAAUCAGCUUACCGGUGUUUGGUGGCAUCACAGGUGUGAUAACUAUCUACGCUUGUGGUUUUCCACCAGGUUAACCUUCAGCGAUGGAGGUUCGCUGGAGCUCAUAAAUGUCUCUUCUCGGUGAGGACAGCUCUUUGAACGUUUGAUCUCAAAUCAGGUAGGACUACCCGCUGAACUUAAGCAUAUCAAUAAGCGGAGGA